Molecule: ribosomal RNA, 449 nt
Filed under: uncultured bacterium
Lineage: Bacteria
Description: SSU rRNA
Rfam family: Bacterial small subunit ribosomal RNA
Source: RNAcentral
AGAGCGAACGCUGGCGGCAGGCCUAAUACAUGCAAGUCGAACGGAUCCUUCGGGAUUAGUGGCGGACGGGUGAGUAACACGUGGGAACGUACCCUUUGGUUCGGAACAACUCAGGGAAACUUGAGCUAAUACCGAAUGUGCCCUUCGGGGAAAAGAUUUAUCGCCAUUGGAGCGGCCCGCGUCUGAUUAGCUAGUUGGUAGGGUAAAGGCCUACCAAGGCUACGAUCAGUAGCUGGUCUGAGAGGAUGAUCAGCCACACUGGGACUGAGACACCGGCCCAGACUCCUACGGGAGGCAGCAGUAGGGAAUCUUGCGCAAUGGGCGAAAGCCUGACGCAGCCAUGCCGCGUGAAUGAUGAAGGUCUUAGGAUUGUAAAAUUCUUUCAGCGGGGACGAUAAUGACGGUACCCGCAGAAGAACGCCCCGGCUAACUUCGUGCCAGCACGCCGC